ACGUUCACGUCAUAAUUUCGCACCCGCCAUCUUAGUUGAAGUUUAUUGAGGACGGUACAACAAUGUCAUUUCGCAGCAACAAAUGGAACUGUAUCAUCGAUCUGACCUCGGUUGCGCAAGGGCGAAUAUGAGCCACAAGAAUUCCGGCAGAUACAAACAGAAGUGAUGGAUUUAUUGAGGAUUACAUCAAAUAAUCCAGGAGCUGUAAAUCAGUAAGUGCAUCUGUUAAAAAACUAUUGUCUAUAUACUUGUUGGUGACGUUUUGGCUUUUUAUUGCAAAAAUUGGAUUUGUACCUGCACUCAGCCUCUGACCAACAAGAGUGGUGGGGUAGUGGUUGCUAUUCAGUGUGAUUUGAUACUAUUACCAAAUUAGGCAUUCAAGGAUUUCCAUUAUUUUCCAUUGUGUGCUGGUGUCCAUCAAACACUUGCAUAUACAUAGGUGCUGGAAGACUUCAUUAACUGAUUAUUGUCUCUUGAUUUGACUUAAUACACUUACUAUACAUUUGUUUUCUUUAUUUCAGAAAAAUGGAUAAAGUCGAAACCAAAGAAGAAGAUUCUGAAAUAAUCUCGAAAAGUGUACGCGUUUUCUGAAAGAAAUUAAUAAAGAGUGUUGAUUACA
Haliotis rubra (blacklip abalone) is the source of this 619-nucleotide long non-coding RNA. RefSeq lists it as uncharacterized. The transcript has 2 exons. The record is from RefSeq and is a predicted model, not a curated record. Lineage: Eukaryota; Metazoa; Mollusca; Gastropoda; Lepetellida; Haliotidae.